AAUUUUGGUCUCCUUUCUUUUCCAAAUCCAUAUCGCCUUCCUUAUCUUGUUCUUCUUCGCCCAAAAUUACAGUUCACCUCCGAAACCAUGGCGGCGGUGUCGCUCUCGAUAACCCAAUUGUUUCUAUUCAAAAGAAGUUCCGUAGGGAUAGAAAGUUUGUUCCUUGUUCGGUUGCCGAAGAAACCCAAGUUCCAGAAGAAGCAGCAGAAGCAGAAGCAUCGGUUGUCGUUCCGGUCUCGCCUUCCGACGUUCUCACAAUGUUCUUUCAGGCUGAUGGAAUGAUGAAUGAAGCAUUGAUUCCUGCUAUUUCCGGGGCCCUACAAGUAAGUCUUGUAGUUGCAAUUGCAGGUAGAUCAAUUGACUGAUUUAGCAAAGUCUUUACCAGUUCACCGCUCAAAAGUCCAGACUAUGAGUGCUGAGGUGCUGGAUAGUAAUCCUUACAGUAGGCUGAUGACACUUCAAAGAAUGGGAAUUGUUGAUAAUUAUGAAAGAAUACGGGAGUUCUCUGUUGCCAUUGUUGGAAUAGGUGGAGUGAGUUCCGUUGCAGCCGAAAUGUUAACAAGUGGAGUUGGCUAACAUGAAUAGGCUAUUCUUCCGUCCAGAGCAGAUUUUGAAAAAAAAAGGUCGCCAGAAAAAUCGCCUUCGGCAGCGGUAGAGUCAAAAGUGGCAAGGGCUGGUCAAAGUGGGUCUUGGGUCAUCCUGAUAGGCCUAUGUGAUCUUGAAAGUCUUCUUGAACAUGGUUAAAUUUCAAAAUCAAACAAGGCCCAAUCAUCAUAAAUUUAGUGGAACGGGGCAGAA
This is a long non-coding RNA of Impatiens glandulifera, 798 nucleotides long. RefSeq lists it as uncharacterized. The record is from RefSeq and is a predicted model, not a curated record. The transcript has 5 exons. NCBI's taxonomy places the organism in Eukaryota, Viridiplantae, Streptophyta, Magnoliopsida, Ericales, Balsaminaceae.